CAAACAUUUUUAUUCUGAUAAAGGUGUCACCGAUCACGAGCUUCCUGAAUUGACAGUUUGCUAUAGAGAGAACAACUUUAACAUGGUUAAAGACAUAUGUAUGGAUGAGGGUGUACCUGCAGUAGAUAAAGUUCUAAUCGAAAGCUGGAAAGAUGGUCAACCGAGCACGUCUGUUUCUGUUGAUGGGAUGAAAGAUGGUCAACCGAGCACGUCUGUUUCUGUUGAUGCUGAUGAAGAACAGCAGAGCAACACCAGGAAAAGUGUCGAUAUGGGGUCGACCAUUGCAUCUGUAUCUCAAGAUUCAUCUUUCAAAGAUGCCAAGAACAUUGCUGUGAC
RNAcentral lists this long non-coding RNA (336 nucleotides) under Solanum tuberosum (potato). Its description in RNAcentral is "long non-coding RNA (STUB_LNC005318)". The record is from RNAcentral. Lineage: Eukaryota; Viridiplantae; Streptophyta; Magnoliopsida; Solanales; Solanaceae.